UUGGGAACUUGAGGUCGGUUGUCGAUCCUGGGGCUGUAGUCGUCCCAAGGGUUGGGCUGUUCGCCCAUUAAAGCGGCACGCGAGUGGUUCAGAAGUCGUGAGACAGUUCGUUCCCUAUCCGUCGCGGGCGCAGGAAAUUUGAGAGGAGCUGUCCUUAGUACGAGAGGACCGGGAUGGACACACCGCUGGUGUACCAGUUGUUCCGCCAGGAGCAUCGCUGGGUAGCUAUGUGUGGCAGGGAUAAACGCUGAAAGCAUCUAAGCGUGAAGCCCCCCUCAAGAUGAGAUUUCCCAUUUCUUCGGAAAGUAAGAUCCCUGAAAGAUGAUCAGGUAGAUAGGUUUGGAGUGGAAGUGUAGCGAUACAUGGAGCGGACAAAUACUAAUCGAUCGAGGACUUAACCAAA
This 403-nucleotide ribosomal RNA is filed under the name Listeria monocytogenes. Its description in RNAcentral is "bacterial LSU rRNA". It matches the Rfam family "Bacterial large subunit ribosomal RNA", at positions 2518 to 2925 of the family's 2925-position model. Lineage: Bacteria; Bacillati; Bacillota; Bacilli; Caryophanales; Listeriaceae. The record is from RNAcentral.